RNAcentral lists this unclassified non-coding RNA (410 nucleotides) under Hevea brasiliensis (rubber tree). The record is from RNAcentral. Lineage: Eukaryota; Viridiplantae; Streptophyta; Magnoliopsida; Malpighiales; Euphorbiaceae.
AAAAAAAAAAAAAUUAUAAAAAAUACUUCACAGGCAUAAAUAUCAAUCACUAGUGGCUCUAUUUCUCUCUAUCCCAAUUUCUGACGUCCCUUAAUUCCAAUUUUCAAACAAAAACCAUUCAAGCUAAUUAUAAUUAAAAAAAAUAGCGACAAAAACACUAAGAGUUCAGAAAUUCCGGUUUGACAAUAUGAAAAUUAAAUCCUAUUAUAAAAAUAAUCGAAACAAUAGCAACCACGAAACUAUUGCCAAUCCUCAGUCACCUAGCGAUUAAAGUGAGUUGACGAAUUAAAUCUAGAAGACAUUUAAACCUAAAAUCAGAUCCAAAUUUCGAGGCAAAUAACUUCUUAGUGGAGAAAAUGAAUUGCAAUAUAUAAAGAACAAACCCUAAUUAAACCCUAAAAAGGGACCUG